Molecule: long non-coding RNA, 794 nt
Organism: Neogale vison (American mink)
Lineage: Eukaryota; Metazoa; Chordata; Mammalia; Carnivora; Mustelidae
Exons: 4
Source: RefSeq, a predicted model, not a curated record
UCGCAUGUGUAUUUGGGUUGGAAUCCACUUAAAAAUGAAGUGGGCUCAUUCUGCAUAGAGGGAAGCCGGCGCUUUGAGAAGAGAUCCAGACACGAUGAAGAUCCAGUCCCCAAGCCAAGGAGCUCCAGGAGUUGUAGGGGAAGGCAGAUGAGUAGUUAGUACUGGAAAAAUACCACAGCCUGAUGGCUGGGAGUUUGCUCUGGACAAGAGGAGAAUAAACCUCUAUACAGAUUCUCUUUCUAUUACUGAGACUAGUGGGAGAGGGAGCCCUGCCUGGAAAUUUGAUUUGGCCCAAGAAUAAUUCCCCACAAAAGCCGGAUCGGUUACAAAGGGGAGAAGGACGGUUUUAUGGAGCAAUCUGACCGAUGCCAACUUUCCCAGGUGAUUUAGGUUGGCGUCACCGGCAGUGGGACAGGAUGACAUCGUUCCCUGGUGUGAUGCUUGAGAAGAGCACAGCGCCCCGUCUGAGGUUUACGGAAGGCAAAGACCCAAGGGCGCCGGUCCCACCCCCAUGCACCGCAAAUACUCAGGUGCUUUCCCUUCGCCCCACGCUAUGAAGUAGGUCCAGCUAUCAAGCCGCAUGAGGAGUUGACAUCUGUUAAGUGACUUCCCGGAAGCCCCAGGACGAAGCCGGAGGAAGAAGGAUUCUAAGCCAGUGAGGCAUCAUGACAAAACCUGACCUUCACACACUUGGCCAUGAGCUUCAACACGGCACUGAGGAUAGAAGCCAGAGCUCAGUGUCUGGAAAAGAGACGGAAGCAGGGGGACGCCCGGGUGGCUCAGUCGGUUAAGCA